This 67-nucleotide transfer RNA is filed under the name Marmota monax (woodchuck). RNAcentral describes it as "tRNA.Ala". Lineage: Eukaryota; Metazoa; Chordata; Mammalia; Rodentia; Sciuridae. The record is from RNAcentral.
GGCUGUAGCUCAGUGGUAGAGCAUAUGUCUAGCAUGGGUGAGGUACUGGGUUCCAUCCUCAGCACCA